RNAcentral lists this ribosomal RNA (245 nucleotides) under uncultured bacterium. RNAcentral's name for it is "partial 16S ribosomal RNA". It matches the Rfam family "Bacterial small subunit ribosomal RNA", at positions 85 to 333 of the family's 1533-position model. The record is from RNAcentral.
CUGAUGGCGACCGGCGCACGGGUGAGUAACACGUAUCCAACCUGCCUCAUACUCGGGGAUAGCCUUUCGAAAGAAAGAUUAAUAUCCGAUAGCAUAUAUUUCCCGCAUGGGUUUUAUACUAAAGAAAUUCGGUAUGAGAUGGGGAUGCGUUCCAUUAGUUUGUUGGGGGGGUAACGGCCCACCAAGACUACGAUGGAUAGGGGUUCUGAGAGGAAGGUCCCCCACAUUGGAACUGAGACACGUCA